Non-coding RNA from Lolium perenne, 2436 nucleotides. The record is from RefSeq and is a predicted model, not a curated record. NCBI's taxonomy places the organism in Eukaryota, Viridiplantae, Streptophyta, Magnoliopsida, Poales, Poaceae.
UACUAUGUAGUAUUUUUUUUAGUUCAGAAUUUGCAGCAAGAGAUUAUUCGAGAGGAAGAUAUUUGACUUCUUUUUUACCUUAUUCCUUUUCAAGGAACUGGCAUUAAUCAUCCCUAUGCGAAGUCAUUAUGUCAUAUGAGAUCAGGGAAAUCAUUCUAGGUACAUGUGCCUCAGGACUUGCGAUCCCGACAGAAGAUUGCCAAUAGCUACUUCAAUGCUGGUAUGCAACAUGAUCUAUGAGUAGAGCUUGGUAGGAAGCCUUUUUAAUAUCUGCGAUAGCCUUCUAAUUAUAGAUUUUGGCAAUAGUAUAUUUUCGAGAGCCGUUUUGCAAAAGGAUUAAACUAAAAUCAACCCAAGGUAGGGAUGGGUAAGUACCGGUACUAUUGUGUUAUUCUCUGCAUUUAUCAAGAUGUGAUUAGUUUCCACUGGUUAUAGGAAGAGUCUGUUACCGCAACAUAAUUGCUCUGUAUAUUUCCCAAUUCCUAACUUGGUCUUACUCAUACAGAUUUUAAAGCCUUCCCAUGCAUUUCUAUGUGAUAAAGGCACCAAAUCCUCUCUUAAUUCGAUUCGAGGCACUCAUAGCAUGGAAGACACAUUGACAGGUGCUACUGGUGUAGUACCACUUCAUCACUCAUUAUUAGAUGAAGGUGGUAUCAGGGAGUAAGUCUCAGGGUGGAUUGAUUGAUGCAGCGCGCUGGAUUGCACUAGGUAUAGCACCAUACCUCCUUCAAGCAGUCAGUCGGUUCCCAGAGUACCAAAUAAAGGUGCAAGUUUCUUACUUUUAGUUAUAGUUACAGAACUCUGUCAUGCCACGUUCUACUCAGUUUGAUUCUAUCACGAAAUAUUAUUUUACUCCUUAGAACUUUGCCUUGCAAAUAAUUUUCCGUGGUUCUGUAACAAAGGAUAGAAAGUUCGUUUUUGGUUACUAUGUUGGCAUUGGAAGACCUCUGAAGCAAAAUAUUUGAUCACACUUAUUUAAUUACCAUGCGAAUUAACUUGAAUCAGGUGAUCCAAAUCCUUUAAUCUGACCUGCACAAGAAUAACGAAGCCCAAAUCUUAAUACAUGGCUAUGUUAUUGUUUUGUUUAGAAUAGUAGGAAACAUGUGUACUGAAAUAUAUUCCUAAAGCAAGUAGUUUACAUUAAAAAUCAAGGUUUCACUAGAACCAAAGGCAGUAGAAAAAAAUCUGAAACACAAUGUUCGAGAAUAUACUCAUUUUCCUAGACCCAACCAUGCAUAGGAGAAACCUGCAUGCUACUGUUGACCAUGCGUAAAUUCCAGCUAUCUCUAGACCUUUCAAGGCGUGGCAUGGUUGAAGAUGAAAUGUGUAUGUUUUUCCUUUGUCCCUUUUCUAAAGCUGCUUGGUUUUUCUCACCUUGGUACCUUAAAAGUUAAGACUGAAUUUCUAGCUGCACAUCGCCACUAUCUACCUCAUAUGGUUACUUCAGGGCAUCCAGAGUAAUCUCACAUCCUUGUUUACUUUCUUGUUGUAUGUUUGGAAAUCUCGAAACCACACACAUUUUGGUUGGAAACUUUGCAGGCAUGCUGAAGUGUUCUCAUAUGUAAAUGUGAUUAUUCAGGGAACCAAACUUGAAGCUGCAGUCCGCAGUGAAAACCAUGGUCCAACUCGCCCUUGGGAUCAUCCAUUCGACCAAGUUGUGCAGAAUCCUCGGUCUUUUGCAGGAAAUACCAUUCUAUGUGAUGCAGUUUGGGCGAUCCAAAAGAAUUCAUCGACGAAAUAGGCUGGAAUUCAUGUCAUCAUUCAGGGCCAAAACAAUCAUCAUUUUCAGCAGCUUUCAUCUCUGAUGUCUCCACUGCUGUCUUUGCCGUUUCAGGCUGAGCCUUGUGGGCUUCUUCUUGGAAUCACGUUGGCAAACGCUCUUCAUAUGCAGGAACUUCAUUUCUACACAUAUUGCUCAGUACUUGCUUCUGCAACAGAGAGGACAAACAUUUUCUCAGCUCCAGGCCAUUGGCAGAACAGGCCUUUGCUUGCCCAGAUUCAAGCCAACCCUUCCUUCAAUCAAACGGCCAUCUCUCACUUCAACAGGAGUGCAAAUGUGAAGGCUCAUCCUCUAGCUGAAGGUUUCUCUUCAAAUUUAGUCUAUACAUGUGGCUUUUUGUUGCCUAUGUUCACAUAAUGUAUAAUGUCAUUGCGGAGACGUGCUCUUUGUUGUCAGCGUGUGCCUUUCAGGCUUCUCUUUGCGGUGAGCUACGUCCAGUCAUUAGCAUGUACACUGGAGCUGCUUCACAGAUGUUGUUUCAGAAAGCUGCUAAGAAGGUUUUUCAGGGUUCAGUUGGUGCAGCGACUCUGCAAAUUGGAGCAACCAACAUAGGGCAUGAGGGGUAUCUCAUUUCUUCAGUAGAGAAUGACUCUUCAUGUUCAGUAUUCUUUAAUUCUUGAUAUGCUACAUAAGCAAUGGUCAAUCCAUUUGCAUCG